UAAGAAAAUGACACAUUCAGCGUCUUCUGGUUUAAGAUGAACAAAGGGAAUAUUUGAGAACCUGUUAAAAUCACCCAGCUCCAAGACACAAGAGCGUGUGCUGCAUCACGUGUGUGGAAAGGAAGCGGCUGUGUGGACGCAGGGCCCCUGUGCAGCUGAAGGCGCCUCAUGUGAUCCUGGGCUCACCCCGACUGCGGCCCCAGCCCUCUUGCCUGAGCGCCUUGAGAGGAGCUUGAGAAGUGUUUACCGGAUACACUUUCUACGCUGACGUCUCAGUCUGUUUCUUCAUCGGUUUAAGUAGAUGCAAAACGUCGUCUAAACGGUGCCACCAAGACAUUGUCUGAACGGAACCACCGACCCCCCAUUUUCUUCAGGUGAGAAAUUUUAUGCCGUUUCUUCCUGCCCUUGUGUCUCCACCUCGCCUCACUCCAGGCAUCGUCAGAACGGAGCCACUGACCCCCGAGCAUUUUUAUUGAUCACUGCUGCCCUCUGUGCUCGAAUUUUGUAUUUUAAUGAUUUUCUGGGGUCCUGAAUUUACAAAUGUGAAACUCAGUGUCCUGGAUUGUUCCGACCUCACAGCCAUUGAGACACAAUACGUCAGGACAUCGUGGCUCUAACACUUGUUAGAUGGACGAGCGUGGUGCUUUUAGAAGUGGGUCUCCGGCGAGGUCCGUCCGCUCCCGUGAGGAGGUGAGGGGCCUGUUCUGAGCGAUCCGCAGCUCCCUUUUGCUAACGGGGAUGUGGCAGCAGUGCCGAGCUCUGUCCCGGCCACGCUGGGUGCCAGCAGCCCUGGGUGUGAGCCUGCACGACUCUUGCCCACCCUGCAGACCUGUACACGGGUGCGUGACCAGGACGAGCGGCCAUCCCGGAGACCCUCAGGCAGGGCCGCCGCAGGCUCGAGGUGGGUCUCAGGCUGGGAGGGGCAGUCCUCCACCCGCUGGGGCAGCUCGGGGUGAGGGUGCGCCCAGGACGAUGUGGGUUGGCCAGGUGACAGCCACCUGUCCUUGUG
This 1009-nucleotide long non-coding RNA is filed under the name Homo sapiens (human). RNAcentral's name for it is "HSALNT0360807". Lineage: Eukaryota; Metazoa; Chordata; Mammalia; Primates; Hominidae. The record is from RNAcentral.